UAAUUUCUUAUAUAAAUGUUAUGAGCUAAUUUGUUAAAUCGUGACUAAUUUUACAAAUGUGUAAACUCUAAAGACUAAAUAUUAUUCCUAAAAAAUUCGCUUUUUUUCUUCAAGCUAUUUGCUUUUUAUAUUUUGUUUUGCUCAGCGGCGGUGCCAACAUUCGGGCUGGCUAUCGCCCACCUUUUUCCUCUCCAAUCAA
RNAcentral lists this long non-coding RNA (199 nucleotides) under Gossypium barbadense (sea-island cotton). RNAcentral's name for it is "long non-coding RNA (GBAR_LNC009949)". The record is from RNAcentral. Lineage: Eukaryota; Viridiplantae; Streptophyta; Magnoliopsida; Malvales; Malvaceae.